CAGUCGCCGCGGUAAUACGUAGGUCCCGAGCGUUGUCCGGAUUUAUUGGGCGUAAAGCGAGCGCAGGCGGUUAGAUAAGUCUGAAGUUAAAGGCUGUGGCUUAACCAUAGUACGCUUUGGAAACUGUUUAACUUGAGUGCAGAAGGGGAGAGUGGAAUUCCAUGUGUAGCGGUGAAAUGCGUAGAGAUGUGGAGGAGCACCAGUGGCGAAGGCGACUCUCUGGUCUGUAACUGACGCUGAGGAGCGAAAGCGUGGGGAGCGAACAGGAUUAGAUACCCGUGUAGUCCCUGUCUCUUAUACA
This 301-nucleotide ribosomal RNA is filed under the name uncultured bacterium. RNAcentral describes it as "partial 16S ribosomal RNA". It matches the Rfam family "Bacterial small subunit ribosomal RNA", at positions 509 to 808 of the family's 1533-position model. The record is from RNAcentral.